This is a non-coding RNA of Oryza sativa Japonica Group (Japanese rice), 2500 nucleotides long. NCBI's taxonomy places the organism in Eukaryota, Viridiplantae, Streptophyta, Magnoliopsida, Poales, Poaceae. The record is from RefSeq and is a predicted model, not a curated record.
CCCCCAGCCCAACUACCUAUUUCCCCAAUCCCCACCCCCAAAUCCCUAACAGCCAUUGGGGCGACCCCGUGCGGCGGCGCAAGAGGCGAGCAGCGAGGGGGUCGGCGGCACGGCGGCACCGGCGAGGUGGACCGGCAAGCAGCAUGUGGAAGCGUGUGGCGGCAGCUUGCACGACCUCGUGAGCAGCGGAGCACGCGGCGGUGAGUCCGCACGAGCAUCAAAAGGAGCAGCAGCAGGCCACACCGCCACGGGAGCUUGCGGAGGCAGCGGAGCAGCUGAGCAAGAGCAGCCCGCAGCCUGCAGCCCAUAGGCGAGCAGCAGUAGGCCGGCGGCUGCAAAACAACUAAACAAAAAAAAGACUGAAUCGCAGCAUGUCGAAAAGAACAUUGUUCAACUAUUAUUCGAGUGGCAGCAGCAGUACCCCUACUGCAGAGGAUGAUGAGAACAUAAGGCAACAAAAAAUGGCAAGGGUAGAGUAUGUCGGUGUUUCCAGUAUGUUGACACUCCCCCCCCCCCCAAAAAAAAAAAAAAAAUUCAUUCUUGGAUCCGCCCCUGUGGGGGAGCGCGCGAGAGAAUUCGUGAAAAUGUUCACACACUCUCUCUCUCUCUCUCUCUCUCUCUCUCCCUGCCUACUGCUACUGCCACGGGCCACGGCGCAGAAAGCGGCAAAAAGGCUACGCGCAUACAGCAGAGGUCUCGUGGUUUUGCCCGAGCUAGGGCAUGGUGUUGUACGGUUUGACGACGUACACACAUAACAUGCACCGUGCUAUGCGCAUACGGGGGUGGCCGGUUAGUCCGAUUCGGUACGUGCCUAUGUGAGAGAAACGACGCGUGAUUUUGCCCACUCGUAACAGUGACACGACGCAAUGCAGGCGAUCGUUGUCUUGUGGAUUGUUUCCAUGUUGCAAUGAGCGCUAGAAUUGCAGGCAUAUAUCCUUCGUUUGUUAUCACUAAUUAAAACCUUAUGAGUGUGUCAUGACGAAACAACGUUCCAAUGAGUUGAAUCUGUGGAUAAUUAAUGCAGCAAAAUGUCUCUACAUGGUGUGUUUUCGUUGGUGCCACUUAGGCACUUUUUGGUUUUGAUUUUUGAUCGCACCCAAAUUUUGUAGAGCUCCUAGUAGACAUUUUCUUUUGACACUAGGAAUUAGAUUGCAUGUUUGAAAUUAUUUUUUCCCAAAGAAAAUAACUAAGGCUAGGAUCCUACUAUUACCUGUUUUAUGCUUGCCAUCCAUGCGAUUAAGCAGCAGCGCUGUAAUACAGGAUUAAUUGAGGCCGUAUGAUCUGUUUCAGUAAUCUGUAGCCAUCAUAGGCACCCACGCCUCUCAUCACAGGAGCGCAUGGAAGCGGUGGUUGGUUUGUGGUCUGUGAGCUAGUACAAUGGUUAUAAUCUUUUUUGCUUCCUUUUGGUUUAUCUCCUCCCGAUUUUUAUUUGGGUUAAUUGGAUCCAUGCCACCGCAAAUGUGGUAAAUCAAAAAAAUGCCACCACUAUUCGUCAUAUCGCAGGCGUGCCACUACUAUUGUGUCUAAAUUGGAUAUGUGCCACAAUAUACCACACGCGUGUGCUUUUCCAGAGUUUAAGCAUACCGUAUUUUCAUAUGGACCAAAAUGCCCCCGUGUCGCUGGGUUGUAAGCCAUCGUGGUCUGGCUCGACGAGCUCGCCAUCCAUUCCCUACCUCACACCAAAACCCUAGAUCUCGAAGGCGGCGACGAUGGCGUCCGCGAUGAUUGUCAGCGCGACCUCGCUAUCCAUUCCCAACCUCACACCGAAACCCUAGAAUCUUGAAGGCGGCAUCGGAGGCGGUUGCGCAGGCGACGGCGACGACGACGACUGCCGACACGAGGAUGGAUUCACCGAGGCAAAAGCAGGACACACAGGCAAGCGGCAGUGUUGUUCGUCGACCGGGGGGAUUAGCUCCUUCCAUCCCCACAUUGAAGUGCGCUUGCGAUGUCCCCGCCGCGGCGCUCAUUUUGAACACCCCGAGGAAUCCUCGACGGUGAUGGCUCCAGUGCGGCAAAUCGAAGGGUUUAUGCUACUUAUGGAUUUGAGAAGACCUACUGAAUGAGCACGCUGAAUAAAUGGUAGCAUACUGCCAGGCCGGUGUGCAAGAUUAUCUGGGUGAAAGAAUCGACAUGCUUCAGCAACAGUUAACUGAGGCUCAACAUGAGGCUCAACAUCAAAAUUGCAAGUUGUCUGAGCUGGUUGAUUUUGUAGGACAAUGAACUGAAGUUGAUGAAGAAACAUUUGGAAGAAGAAAAGAUUACCCGUUCCAGAUUACUUUAUCUUGUGUUAGUGAUGUCCCUUGUAAUAGUUAGCUUAGUUAUUUGUUCAAAUUAGCUAAGUUGAGAUGUAUUGUAAAGAAGUCAGCUUCUGGUACUUCAAUGAAGCCCCUGCUCCCCUAUUUUGUAUGUAAUGAAGCAUAAUCUGUGAUCAAAUGUUGUGUGGCAGAAAUGUUGAGUAUUUUGGCAAUGAAAAGUGAUGCAGAAAUGUUGAGUAUUUUAA